GCCUUAAUCUGUGCGAAAUGUAUUUGAGAGCAGAACGAACGCAUUGCCAUGGAGCGGCGAGUGUAGAGAACUGCAAAGUGUUGGCAAACAAAAAGUCCAGCUUCAAUUAGCAUACCACGGCGGUGAGCCAUAGAGGAUGGUUAGGCUCUACAGCCCCCAGACCACCAGACCCCCCGUAUCCAGCCUGCCCAACUCUUCACUCGUGGGACUGCGACUGUAACUGGGACCUGGCCCAAGCUGCGAUUUUUAUGACAGGUUAAUGACACAACUACGACAAUGAAGGUGCUGCUGAUGAUGAUGAAGACCAGGCGGGAGUGCAAUACCCACCAAUCAGGAAAAAUACAAACAAAAAUUCUAGUACAUUACUUUUUAAUUAAGCAAUGAAUUGAACAUUAAACAAACAACGAAAGUAGCAAGAAAGUGAUCUAAAACUAAAGCUCAGGGAUUUGUGUGAUGAAAAUGAAAUCAUUUACAGAUUUGCCUUUUUGACUUAGAUAUUGAUCCACUUU
Non-coding RNA from Drosophila melanogaster (fruit fly), 509 nucleotides. The record is from Ensembl. Lineage: Eukaryota; Metazoa; Arthropoda; Insecta; Diptera; Drosophilidae.